AAUAUUGGACAAUGGGCGAAAGCCUGAUCCAGCCAUGCCGCGUGUGUGAAGCAGGUCUUCGGAUUGUAAAGCACUUUAAGGUGGGAGGAAGGGUUGUAGGUUAAUACCCUUCAAUUUUUACGUUACCAAUAGAAUAAGCACCGGCUCACUUCGUGCCACCAGCCGCGGUAAUACGAAGGGUGCAAGCGUGAAUCGGAAUUACUGUGCGUAAAGAGAGCGUAGGUGGUUCGGUAAGUUGGAAGUGAAAGCCCCGGGCUUAACCUGGGAAUUGCUUUCAAAACUGACGAGCUAGAGUACGGUAGAGGGUAGUGGAAUUUCCUGUGUAGCGGUGAAAUGCGUAGAUAUAGGAAGGAACAUCAGUGGCGAAGGCGACUACCUGGACUGAUACUGACUCUGAGGUGCGAAAGCGUGGGGAGCAAACAGG
This 424-nucleotide ribosomal RNA is filed under the name uncultured bacterium. Its description in RNAcentral is "partial 16S ribosomal RNA". It matches the Rfam family "Bacterial small subunit ribosomal RNA", at positions 360 to 776 of the family's 1533-position model. The record is from RNAcentral.